Molecule: ribosomal RNA, 454 nt
Filed under: uncultured soil bacterium
Lineage: Bacteria
Description: bacterial SSU rRNA
Rfam family: Bacterial small subunit ribosomal RNA
Source: RNAcentral
UAGUGAUUAACGCGAAGAACCUUACCUGGGCUCGAACGGCUAGUGACAGGUGGCGAAAGUCGCUUUUCCCGCAAGGGACAUUAGUCGAGGUGCUGCAUGGCUGACGUCAGCUCGUGUCGUGAGAUGUUGGGUUAAGUCCCGCAACGAGCGCAACCCCUGCCUUUAGUUGCCACCAGAUUAUGCUGAGCACUCUAAAGGGACUGCCGGUGAAAAACCGGAGGAAGGUGGGGAUGACGUCAAGUCCUCAUGGCCUUUAUGUCCAGGGCUACACACGUACUACAAUGGACGGCACAAUGAGUCGCAAACCCGCGAGGGGGAGCCAAUCUCAAAAAACCGUUCUCAGUUCGGAUUGCAGUCUGCAACUCGACUGCAUGAAGCUGGAAUCGCUAGUAAUCGCUGAUCAGCAAGCAGCGGUGAAUACGUUCCCGGGCCUUGUCACACCCGAAUCGAAUUC